Labrus mixtus (cuckoo wrasse) is the source of this 598-nucleotide long non-coding RNA. RefSeq lists it as uncharacterized. The record is from RefSeq and is a predicted model, not a curated record. The transcript has 4 exons. Lineage: Eukaryota; Metazoa; Chordata; Actinopteri; Labriformes; Labridae.
CAGAUCUUCCGGGCGACUUGCCCUAUAAGAAAUUGGAAAAUGCUACAAUAAAACCCGAAAAACUGAAAAAAAAUAAUGUGGCAACUUUACUAUUAAAAGCCCGGAAGCCAUCGAUCGUUAAGACACUCCUUUUAAUUGGAAGUUACCAAACGACAGCGAAGUAGCAGAGAUCAUUCAUGGAAAGCCGCCUUCCAUGUAGAAAAUGCCACUGCAAGUACAACUAAAGGAAUCAGAUGGCAGUGGAGUGAGCUUGGUUAAGAGGCUGUAACUCCUCUGUGUAUUCUUCUCCAGGACAGUCUUUUCAACAGUAUGAUGAAGUGAGCCCCUGCACAGAGUGACUCCCCAGGAAGAGAAAACGAGGUAGGACAAAUCUCCAACAUGACUGAUUACUGUCCCCACCAUCUCCCCUGUUCAUAUCUACAACAAUAUCAGGCAUCUUCAUUAAUCCCCAUGGAUCAAUGUGUCUGGGGGUUGUAAAAAUUGACAAAUGACUUAUUAGAAUCCCACCGUUUUAUUUUCCAACUGAUUAACUCACAGCAAUGUCGUACACUAUACAGGCACACUGAUGUAUCUGUUUUCCAAAGAGCGCUUCUCUCUC